GGCUCAGGAUGAACGCUGGCGGCGUGCUUAACACAUGCAAGUCGAACGAUGAWGGGAGCUUGCUCCCUGGAUUAGUGGCGAACGGGUGAGUAACACGUGAGUAACCUGCCCUUAACUCUGGGAUAAGCCUGGGAAACUGGGUCUAAUACCGGAUAUGACUCCUCAUCGCAUGGUGGGGGGUGGAAAGCUUUUUGUGGUUUUGGAUGGACUCGCGGCCUAUCAGCUUGUUGGUGAGGUAAUGGCUUACCAAGGCGACGACGGGUAGCCGGCCUGAGAGGGUGACCGGCCACACUGGGACUGAGACACGGCCCAGACUCCUACGGGAGGCAGCAGUGGGGAAUAUUGCACAAUGGGCGCAAGCCUGAUGCAGCGACGCCGCGUGAGGGAUGACGGCCUUCGGGUUGUAAACCUCUUUCAGUAGGGAAGAAGCGAAAGUGACGGUACCUGCAGAAGAAGCGCCGGCUAACUACGUG
RNAcentral lists this ribosomal RNA (473 nucleotides) under Arthrobacter humicola. RNAcentral's name for it is "bacterial SSU rRNA". It matches the Rfam family "Bacterial small subunit ribosomal RNA", at positions 21 to 507 of the family's 1533-position model. Lineage: Bacteria; Bacillati; Actinomycetota; Actinomycetes; Micrococcales; Micrococcaceae. The record is from RNAcentral.